UAUUUUGGAAGAGAUGCAUUUAUUAGAUAAAAAACCAAUACAUACUUUUUCAAGUAUGAAAUUUGGUGAUUUACAAUAACUUAGCAAAUCGCAUAGUGAAAACAGGCGAUAAAUCAUUCAAGUUUCUGACCUAUCAGCUUUCGACGGUAUGGUAUUGGCUUACCGUGGCAGUGACGGUUAACGGGGGAUUAGGGUUCGAUUCCGGAGAGGGAGCCUGAGAAACGGCUACCACAUCUAAGGAAGGCAGCAGGCGCGCAAAUUACCCAAUUCUAACAGCAUAAGAGAGGUAGUGACAAGAAAUAACAAUACAAGGCAGUUAAAAUGCUUUGUAAUUGGAAUGAUAGAAAUUUAAACACUUUUUAAAGUAUCAAUUGGAGGGCAAGUCUGGUGCCAGCAGCCGCGGUAAUUCCAGCUCCAAUAGCGUAUAUUAAAAUUGUUGCAGUUAAGAAGCUCGUAGUUGAAUUUCCGUUAAAAAUAACCGGUCUGCUUUUAAUAAAAGUGGUAUCUUGGUGUGUUUUUAGCAAUAAUGUCCUUUGAAAUGUUUUUUACUUUAUUGUGAUAAAUAAUAUUCAGGAUUUUUACUUUGAGAAAAUUAGAGUGUUUCUAGCAGGCUAACGCUUUGAAUACUGCAGCAUGGAAUAAUAAAAUAGGAUUUUAGUUCUACAUUAUUGGUUUUAAGAACUAAAUUAAUGAUUGAUAGGGACAGUUGGGGGCAUUUGUAUUUAACUGUCAGAGGUGAAAUUCUUAGAUUUGUUAAAGACAAACUACUGCGAAAGCAUUUGCCAAAGAUGUUUUCAUUAAUCAAGAAC
Molecule: ribosomal RNA, 809 nt
Filed under: Hepatozoon felis
Lineage: Eukaryota; Apicomplexa; Hepatozoidae
Description: SSU rRNA
Rfam family: Eukaryotic small subunit ribosomal RNA
Source: RNAcentral